This 253-nucleotide ribosomal RNA is filed under the name uncultured bacterium. RNAcentral's name for it is "partial 16S ribosomal RNA". It matches the Rfam family "Bacterial small subunit ribosomal RNA", at positions 524 to 776 of the family's 1533-position model. The record is from RNAcentral.
UACAGAGGGCGCGAGCGUUGUCCGGAAUCACUGGGCGUAAAGGGCGCGUAGGUGGCGGCAUAAGGCCGCGGUGAAAGUCUGGGGCUCAACCCCAGAUCGGCCGCGGCGACUGUGUCGCUCGAGCACGGUAGAGGCAGAUGGAAUUCCGGGUGUAGCGGUGGAAUGCGUAGAUAUCAGGAGGAACACCGAUGGCGAAGGCAGGUCUCUGGGCAUUAACUGACGCUGAGGAGCGAAAGCAUGGGGAGCGAACAGG